Molecule: ribosomal RNA, 457 nt
Filed under: uncultured bacterium
Lineage: Bacteria
Description: bacterial SSU rRNA
Rfam family: Bacterial small subunit ribosomal RNA
Source: RNAcentral
GAGUUUGAUCGUGGCUCAGGAUGAACGCUGGCGGCGCGCCUAACACAUGCAAGUCGAACGGCACCCACCUCCGGGUGGAAGCGAGUGGCGAACGGCUGAGUAACACGUGGAGAACCUGCCCCCUCCCCCGGGAUAGCCGCCCGAAAGGACGGGUAAUACCGGAUACCCCCGGGUGCCGCAUGGCGCCCGGGCUAAAGCCCCGACGGGAGGGGAUGGCUCCGCGGCCCAUCAGGUAGACGGCGGGGUGACGGCCCACCGUGCCGACAACGGGUAGCCGGGUUGAGAGACCGACCGGCCAGAUUGGGACUGAGACACGGCCCAGACUCCUACGGGAGGCAGCAGUGGGGAAUCUUGCGCAAUGGGGGCAACCCUGACGCAGCGACGCCGCGUGCGGGACGGAGGCCUUCGGGUCGUAAACCGCUUUCAGCAGGGAAGAGAAGAGACUGUACCUGCAGAA